GCCUGUGUGUGUGCAUGUGUGUGCAGAAGAGGAGCUGAGGAGGGUUAGCCCUGUGCCCAGGACAGCAGGUGCAGAGGCUGAACUCGGGCGGGGGCAGCUCCUCCUAGCUGCUUGAUGGGUGGAUCUCCACUCCAGCUGGGUCUGCUGGCCAACUUUCUGCAAGCUGUGGCUUCUCUGAGGUUCUGGGCUCCACUGCUGCACAGCCAGCUGCACAGUGCCUUGUGGUGGCAGCCCCAGGUCGUUGCUGCAGUUGCUUUCCAUCCUGUGAUCUGGGGAUCCAGACAAGUGGUGUGGGGAGGUUCUGCGCCACUCCGUGUGCCCGGGGCCUCAGCUGGGAGGACUGGAGUGGCUGAGCCGCCCUGGGACAGUGGGCACUGCUGAGCCGCCACUGAGCAAGACAACAGUGAGGUACAAUCUUCUGCGUGACACUGGCCAUCACCAUGGUAACAACCUGAUUGCAGCUGGCUCACUGUUGCCCUGGACCCAGACUGAGAAGCAUCAGAGAAGAGGACAUGGAGGAGAAGGCAGCAUGGAAGGGUCCCUGGGCAAGGGCUUUGUGUAUGAGAAGAAGCAGGCAGAAGACCUGAAUGAACAAGUACCUUCGUGCUGUCUAUGUUUGCGUGUCUAGUCUGCCGAUCUACACACGCGCCUGGAAAGCAGCUCUGGAUGGAUCCCACCCGCCUUACCCUCCCCCUCUUCCCUUUCUCAGCCAGUGGCACUGCUGGCCCACCUCGCUGCUCCACCCAGGGCCCCGGCAUCCACUCCUACCUUGCUGAGCCUGUCACCAUCCCUCUCCCCCAGGUUUCUGCAGCUUCCCGGGCUGCAUUUCUUCCUGUACCUCUGUGUAGCUCCCUUUCAUUUCACCCCAAGACCCUCCCCGAGCUUCUUCAGCCUCUCUUGAGCUUCUCUGGAACAUGGUCUUCAAGCUCCUUCAACGCUCACGACCUUUCUGCCCUUUGGCUCAGAAUGCUCCCUCUGCCCCUUCAUGUGGCUGGCCAUCAUCUUGGAAUCCUCAGCUGACAUGCUACUUCAGAGGGACUUUCUCCAUCAACUGCCCUCUUCCAGGCUGAGUCCCUGGGUUCAUUUCUGACAUAACAGCCCAUUUGUUCUUCAAAACAUUUACUGUAAUAGGCAAUAUGAGAUAUUUUCUUUAUUGUUCAUGAUAAAAAAUUUCUGCCUAGAAUCUUGUACCUACAAGAGCAGGCAUUUUGUCUUGAUUAUUAUUGAUUAUUGGCAUCCAUAGCUGCUGUCUAAAUACUAGUUUAAUAAAUGAGUGACCUCCUGUGAUUGCUGCAAACAUCUGGACCCAGAGUCAACAUAACAUGAAAACAAUCUGCUGGCACAAGACUGGUAUUCAGUGAGUAAUGGGAAAAGAUGGGUGGGCACAGGCAGCAGGGUUACAGCGUGCUCUGUUUUCCUUCCCCUGGGAAGUGGC
RNAcentral lists this long non-coding RNA (1435 nucleotides) under Heterocephalus glaber (naked mole-rat). RNAcentral's name for it is "lncRNA (ENSHGLG00000036056.1)". Lineage: Eukaryota; Metazoa; Chordata; Mammalia; Rodentia; Bathyergidae. The record is from RNAcentral.